Non-coding RNA from Arachis ipaensis, 110 nucleotides. Lineage: Eukaryota; Viridiplantae; Streptophyta; Magnoliopsida; Fabales; Fabaceae. The record is from RefSeq and is a predicted model, not a curated record.
CUGAUGAUGUAUAGAAACUAACAGGUGAACCAAGAAAUUGCACUCUUCAUCCUUGCAGCCCACUCUCACUCUCUCCCUAUCAUUCUUGAUCCACUUAACCUCCCUCCCCU